GUGUGCCUAAUACAUGCAAGUCGAACGCGUUGGCCCAAUUGAUCUGAUGGUGCUUGCACCUGAUUGAUUUUGGUCGCCAACGAGUGGCGGACGGGUGAGUAACACGUAGGUAACCUGCCCAGAAGCGGGGGACAACAUUUGGAAACAGAUGCUAAUACCGCAUAACACCGUUGUUCGCAUGAACAACGCUUAAAAGAUGGCUUCUCGCUAUCACUUCUGGAUGGACCUGCGGUGCAUUAGCUUGUUGGUGGGGUAACGGCCUACCAAGGCGAUGAUGCAUAGCCGAGUUGAGAGACUGAUCGGCCACAAUGGGACUGAGACACGGCCCAUACUCCUACGGGAGGCAGCAGUAGGGAAUCUUUCCACAGUGGGCGCAAGCUUGAUGGAGCAACACCGCGUGAGUGAAGAAGGUUUUCGGCUCGUAAAAGUUCUGUUGUUAAAGAAAAAACACGUAUGAGCAGCUACCUGUUCAUACGUUGACGGUAUUUAACCAGAAAGUCACGGCUUAACUACGUGCCCAGCAGCCG
RNAcentral lists this ribosomal RNA (527 nucleotides) under Limosilactobacillus fermentum. RNAcentral's name for it is "bacterial SSU rRNA". It matches the Rfam family "Bacterial small subunit ribosomal RNA", at positions 42 to 517 of the family's 1533-position model. The record is from RNAcentral. Lineage: Bacteria; Bacillati; Bacillota; Bacilli; Lactobacillales; Lactobacillaceae.